AGAAGCUUAGGUUAACCAAUUAAACCAUGGACCUUCAAAGCCCAAAACAAUGGUUAAACUCCAUUAGCUUCUG
This 73-nucleotide transfer RNA is filed under the name Brachymeles bonitae. RNAcentral's name for it is "tRNA-Trp". It matches the Rfam family "tRNA". Rfam says of the family: Transfer RNA (tRNA) molecules are approximately 80 nucleotides in length. Their secondary structure includes four short double-helical elements and three loops (D, anti-codon, and T loops). Further hydrogen bonds mediate the characteristic L-shaped molecular structure. tRNAs have two regions of fundamental functional importance: the anti-codon, which is responsible for specific mRNA codon recognition, and the 3' end, to which the tRNAs corresponding amino acid is attached (by aminoacyl-tRNA synthetases). tRNAs cope with the degeneracy of the genetic code in two manners: having more than one tRNA (with a specific anti-codon) for a particular amino acid; and 'wobble' base-pairing, i.e. permitting non-standard base-pairing at the 3rd anti-codon position. The record is from RNAcentral. Lineage: Eukaryota; Metazoa; Chordata; Lepidosauria; Squamata; Scincidae.